AGGCUGGAGUGCAGUGGUGUGAUCUCGGCUCACUGCAAGCUCUGCCUCCCGGGUUCAUGCCAUUCUCCCACCUCAGCCUCCCGAGUAGCUGGGACUACAGACACAAACCCCCACGCCUGGCUGAUUUUUGUAUUUUUAGUAGAGAUGGGGUUUCACCAUGUUGGUCAGGCUGGUCUCGAACUCCUCGUGAUCCGCCCGCCUUGGCCUCCCAAAGUGCUGGGAUUACAGGUGUGAGCCACAGCACCCGGC
Molecule: long non-coding RNA, 249 nt
Filed under: Homo sapiens (human)
Lineage: Eukaryota; Metazoa; Chordata; Mammalia; Primates; Hominidae
Description: HSALNT0406134
Source: RNAcentral